GUGUGUGUGUGGAGUGGGGAAAUCUGAUUAACACGGCCCUCUUGUGGAGAUCAAGGGUUAACUUUAUUUAUUUUUUUUAAAGAUUUAUUCAUUUAUUUUUUUUUUUCUUUUUUUCGGAGCUGGGGACCGAACCCAGGGCCUUGCGGAUUUAUUCAUUUAUUAUAUAUAAGUACACUGUAGUUGUCUUCAGACACACCAGAAGAGGGCAUCAGAUCUCUUUACAGAUGGUUGUGAGCCACCAUGUGGUUGCUGGGAAUUGAACUCAGGACCUCUGGAAGAGUAGUCGGGUGCUCUUAACCACUGAGCCAUCUCUCCAGCCCGAAGGAUUAACUUUAUGACUAACAUUCCCAUGGGACAUGGACAUGGGGCAAAGGACAUGGGAAGGAGCCCUCAUCAGUCUUGCCAGCAUGCAGCUCUGCCCACAAGUCAUCUCAGUGGCCUGUACAGAUCACCCUGCCGAACACCAUGUCCAUGAGAGACUCUGACGGCACUGUGUACAGGACAAAGCAGAUGCACUUUCACUGGGGCGGUCGGGACUCAGAAAUCAGUGGCUCUGAGCACACCAUCGAUGGGAUGAGGCACGCCAUAGAGAUUCACCUUGUUCACUUCAACGAGAAGUACGAGACCUACGAGAAAGCCGUGGACCAACCAGACGGCUUGGCGGUGAUGGCGGUCUUGGUUAAGGUUGAGGAUUACACAGAAAACGAUUACUACAGCACCUUCAUUUCUGAGCUGGAA
Molecule: long non-coding RNA, 738 nt
Filed under: Rattus norvegicus (Norway rat)
Lineage: Eukaryota; Metazoa; Chordata; Mammalia; Rodentia; Muridae
Description: long non-coding RNA NONRATT023880
Source: RNAcentral